Molecule: ribosomal RNA, 480 nt
Filed under: uncultured bacterium
Lineage: Bacteria
Description: partial 16S ribosomal RNA
Rfam family: Bacterial small subunit ribosomal RNA
Source: RNAcentral
GAUGAACGCUAGCGGCAGGCCUAACACAUGCAAGUCGAGGGGGAAGUUACUUUCGGGUGACUGAGACCGGCGUACGGGUGCGUAACGCGUAUACAAUCUGCCUUUCACUGGGGGAUAGCCCGAAGAAAUUUGGAUUAAUACCCCAUAGUAUAUAGGGACGGCAUCGUUUUUAUAUUAAAGCUUAGGUGGUGAAAGAUGAGUAUGCGUUCUAUUAGCUAGUUGGAGAGGUAACGGCUCCCCAAGGCGAUGAUAGAUAGGGGUUCUGAGAGGGAUGUCCCCCACACUGGUACGGAGAUACGGACCAGACUCCUACGGGAGGCAGCAGUGAGGAAUAUUGGACAAUGGUCGGAAGACUGAUCCAGCCAUGCCGCGUGCAGGAUGAAGGUCUUAUGGAUUGUAAACUGCUUUUGUAAGGGAAGAAUAAGGGCUACGCGUAGUUUGAUGACGGUACCUUACGAAUAAGCAUCGGCUAACUCCGUG